GCCGGGUAUGGUGGUGCACGCCUGUAAUCCCAGUGGCUGUGGCGGCUGAGGCAGGAGGAUCGCAGGUUUGAGGCCAGCUUCAGCAACUUAGUGAGGCAAUAAGCAACCUAGUGAGACCCUGUCUUGA
This 127-nucleotide small RNA is filed under the name Marmota monax (woodchuck). Lineage: Eukaryota; Metazoa; Chordata; Mammalia; Rodentia; Sciuridae. The record is from RNAcentral.